This 721-nucleotide long non-coding RNA is filed under the name Oryctolagus cuniculus (rabbit). RNAcentral describes it as "lncRNA (ENSOCUG00000032992.1)". Lineage: Eukaryota; Metazoa; Chordata; Mammalia; Lagomorpha; Leporidae. The record is from RNAcentral.
AUGAGAAACUCAGCGCAUGGGACGCAGGUUAAUAUUGAAGACAAUUCUUACGUCUCCAUGGAGCCACACAACUUCAGACAAAGCAAAGAUGAAAGCCACACCCAGAGCAAAUGUAGAUGGUUCACCAUCCCUUGGUGUCCUGGUUCACCAUCCCUUGGUCUCCCACUACCUGCUGAACAGCCACCAUCUCAUGAAAUUGGUUAUCUCCAGAAGUUUCCAGGCCAGGCGCCAAUAUGGGCUGAGAGUAACAUCAAAAACUCUACAGCUUGUAAAAUGAUGUUAAAGAGGUUUCUCCAAGGCGAUCUGAGUAAAAUACCAUCUUCCCUGCCGCAGGUUAGGACAGGGAAUUCCAGUGGCAAAAGGCUCACGCAGUGCUCCAAGCAGAGUGCACCUGCUUCCUUCCGCAAGAAAAGCCAAGAGCUGGAUGUGCGUUUGGUACCGCGGCUGAGGGUCACCCAGGUCAGUCUGGGUUCAAGCACCGGCCCUGUUUCCAAACCCGCCCCUUGCUGGUGUGCGCCCUGGGAAGGCACAGUCAGCGAUGGCUCCAGUGCCUGGGUGCCUGCCAGCCACAUGGGAGAGCCAGAUGGCGUUCUGGGAUUCUGGCACUGGCCUGGUCCACUCCUGGCUGUUGUGGGCAUGUGAGGGGGGACCCGUGGAUAGACGGUCUUUAUCUGUCUCGUUCUCUCUGCCUUUCAGAUGAAUAAAACUAAAUAAAGGACCA